RNAcentral lists this ribosomal RNA (229 nucleotides) under uncultured bacterium. Its description in RNAcentral is "partial 16S ribosomal RNA". It matches the Rfam family "Bacterial small subunit ribosomal RNA", at positions 568 to 796 of the family's 1533-position model. The record is from RNAcentral.
UACGUAGGCGGAAGAUUAAGUCAGUGGUGAAAUCCUGCAGCUUAACUGUAGAACUGUCAUUGAUACUGGUUUUCUUGAAUUUAGUUGAGGUAGGCGGAAUGUGUAAUGUAGCGGUGAAAUGCUUAGAUAUUACACAGAACACCGAUUGCGAAGGCAGCUUACUAAACUAUGAUUGACGCUGAGGUACGAAAGCGUGGGGAGCGAACAGGAUUAGAUACCCUGUUAGUCC